Molecule: ribosomal RNA, 812 nt
Filed under: uncultured bacterium
Lineage: Bacteria
Description: bacterial SSU rRNA
Rfam family: Bacterial small subunit ribosomal RNA
Source: RNAcentral
UNUGACUUGAGUGCAGAAGGGGAGAGUGGAAUUCCAUGUGUAGCGGUGAAAUGCGUAGAUAUAUGGAGGAACACCAGUGGCGAAAGCGGCUCUCUGGUCUGUCACUGACGCUGAGGCUCGAAAGCGUGGGUAGCGAACAGGAUUAGAUACCCUGGUAGUNCACGCCGUAAACGAUGAGUGCUAGGUGUUAGGCCCUUUCCGGGGCUUAGUGCCGGAGCUAACGCAAUAAGCACUCCGCCUGGGGAGUAGGACCGCAAGGUUGAAACUCAAAGGAAUUGACGGGGGCCCGCACAAGCGGUGGAGCAUGUGGUUUAAUUCGAAGCAACGCGAAGAACCUUACCAGGUCUUGACAUCCCGAUGCUAUUCUUAGAGAUAGGAAGUUACUUCGGUACAUCGGAGACAGGUGGUGCAUGGUUGUCGUCAGCUCGUGUCGUGAGAUGUUGGGUUAAGUCCCGCAACGAGCGCAACCCUUAUUGUUAGUUGCCAUCAUUAAGUUGGGCACUCUAGCGAGACUGCCGGUAAUAAACCGGAGGAAGGUGGGGAUGACGUCAAAUCAUCAUGCCCCUUAUGACCUGGGCUACACACGUGCUACAAUGGUCGGUACAACGAGUUGCGAGCCGGUGACGGCAAGCUAAUCUCUGAAAGCCGAUCUCAGUUCGGAUUGGAGGCUGCAACUCGCCUCCAUGAAGUCGGAAUCGCUAGUAAUCGCGGAUCAGCACGCCGCGGUGAAUACGUUCCCGGGCCUUGUACACACCGCCCGUCACACCACGAGAGUUUGUAACACCCGAAGUCGGUGAGGUANCCUUUUAGGG